This 304-nucleotide ribosomal RNA is filed under the name uncultured bacterium. RNAcentral's name for it is "partial 16S ribosomal RNA". It matches the Rfam family "Bacterial small subunit ribosomal RNA", at positions 506 to 807 of the family's 1533-position model. The record is from RNAcentral.
CAGCAGUAGCCACGGUAAUACAGAGGGUGCGAGCGUUAAUUGGAUUUACUGGGCGUAAAGCGUGCGUAGGCGGCUUUUUAAGUCGGAUGUGAAAUCCCUGAGCUUAACUUAGGAAUUGCAUUCGAUACUGGGAAGCUAGAGUAUGGGAGAGGAUGGUAGAAUUCCAGGUGUAGCGGUGAAAUGCGUAGAGAUCUGGAGGAAUACCGAUGGCGAAGGCAGCCAUCUGGCCUAAUACUGACGCUGAGGUACGAAAGCAUGGGGAGCAAACAGGAUUAGAUACCCCUGUAGUCCCUGUCUCUUAUAC